RNAcentral lists this long non-coding RNA (3851 nucleotides) under Homo sapiens (human). RNAcentral describes it as "PREDICTED lncRNA (TCONS_00132902)". The record is from RNAcentral. Lineage: Eukaryota; Metazoa; Chordata; Mammalia; Primates; Hominidae.
UGCUGUUUUACAGCAGCAGAAACUGGAACACAUGCAGUCUCAUGAUUGUCCUACUCUUUUGCCAGAUCAUUGCAUUGUCUGCCCAGGCACCCCUCAUCCCAUCUCUCUCCAUCCCUUUUCUUACCUUUUCAUGUUCCUUGUCUUUUCAUGACAGCAUUUAUCAAUGUCUGAAAGUAGAAUGUUGUUGAUUGACUCUCUCUUCAACUAGAACAUAAGCAAUGAGCGGCCCAGCCUUUGUCCCACACACUGCAGUGUGUCCCACUUCUAAGAAAGUGUCCAACACACAGCAGGAACUCAGUCAGCAUUUCUUGAAUGAAUUAAGUGAAGUGAUGCAUACAGGCCACAUUCUGAGCUGCUGGAGGAGCCAGUAGUUGAUUACCAAACUCUAGUCCUUUAUCUUGGUGUCCUGAUGUCCUGACUGAUACACAGUUUGUAGGCAAAUAGCUGGUGGGGUUUAGUAGUAUGGGAUAGAAUAAAGGGAGAUGUAAUUGGGACACUCUCCACAUUAUCUGCCCCCAUGAAAAGCUAGUUCCAGGUGUUGCCAUCUCUGCCCCACACUGGGCUUGCCUUAGUCCUCGUUCCCGCCUUUUCCAGACAGCAGUGCUGAGAAGCAGGAGCCCCUGAGCUUGGAGACGCAGGAAGAGCCCUGGGAGGCCCAGAUCAAAGGGAGGCAGUCAGCUCAUGGAGCCGAGGAAUGUUCUGCUGACACCCACCCCGAGGGUAUCCGUCCAGAAUCAAAUCAGAAGAGCAAUCCCGAGUGCCCACCUCACGGUCUGAAGCACCUCCUCCUACACCCGGACCCAAACACGAGGUCGGCUCAAGGAGGCACUGAGGUCACGACAGUCAGGGUCCUGCGCUGCUUGUCGCAUGCAGUCUCCUUCCCCGAACCGCCGCCUGCACGGCCUCCACUGUUUUCCUAUUGGGCUGCAGCCUGAGAGCCCUGACAAUGCGGCCCACAAACCGGGAACGCGAAAGUGCACGUACCAGGCGCGAUCACCAGGCGCUAGCGCUGAGGGGGGACUCGCGUCACAGUAACCGCCACCGUUGCCGGGGGACUGGCCCCAGCGGCUUGGCCCCCAGGCGUCUGUGGCAGUGCGUCCCCUCUCCGCGGGAUCGUCGCCAUGGUCCUGCGAUCCUAGGAGUCGGGCAAGGCCGAACCUGCCUGAAGAAACCUCAAGCGGAGAUUCAAGGAAGCACCACGUGAUCCCUAAGGAUCCCAAAGAUGCGUCGGGCAUGCAUGGGCGGUGUGAGGGUGCGUCUCCCUGACAGGUGUCCCCGCUGGGAUUUCGAGCAAUGCUGAGAAGCCGAAGGCCCUGGUCUUGGAGACCAGGACAGGGCCCUGGGAGGCCCAGGUCGAAAGGGGGCCAGUCAGCUCAUGGGGCGAGGGAAUGUCCUGCUCACACCCUCCACUGGGGUCUCAGGAAUUAUCCGAUGAAAAGUAGAAGAGGUUGAAUGACUUUCAGUGGCCUUUUCUUCACAGAUUUUCCAUAUGCUGUUCCAUCUGCCAAGAAUGCUCUCAAAGUGGCCACCUCCUUUGCGUGUGAAAUGUCCUAGCUUAAAUGUCAGCUGCUCAGAAAGACUAUCCUGGAUCACUUUAAUUAGGUCCAUGCCAGGGCUCACCUGAAACUUCAUGUACCAUUGCACUUCCUGAGAAGCUGUCCCCAAUCCCAGGCUCCUAGCAAUGCUGUUCCAGUAAUCUCUCUUCUGUAAGACAGCCACUCCACCCACUGCAGUCUACAAGGAAAGCCUCCAUAGCUGUGAUUAUUCAGUAAGAACAGUCUCAGGAAAACAGGACCUUCAACAGAGAUAAGAGAAUUAAAAUAUGCAGACUAACAACUCUGGGAAUGGGCUGACCAGCCUGAUAAGAAUAGGCUGAUGGCACCUACAGAAGGCCACAAAACACUGACCAAGAAAGCAAUGACCAACAAAGCAAUGACCUGAGACUGCACAUUUCACAAGAAUGUUUUGAUCAUCAUUUUUUCUAAUUUCCCUUAAAAACCCCUGAUAUGGAGACAGAACUCGGCGGUCUUUGAACACUAGUUCACUGCCUCCCCUGGGUUGUUGGAUUCCUGAAUAGAGCUAACCAUCCUUUCACCAAUGCUCAUCUCUUAAACUUUCAAGUGACAAGUGGUCUGGACCUGAAUUUCGUUACAAAACCUAUGUAUACCUUACCUUACAUGGCAAAGGGGACUUUAGAAGUGCAAUUAAAUUAAGGAUCUUGAGAGGGGGUUAUCCUGGAUUAUCUGGUUGGGCCCAAUGUAUUUGUAAGUGAUAGAGGGAGGCAGGUGAGUAAAAAAAGGAAACGUGAUGAUGAAAGCACAAGUCAAAAUGUGAUUGCUGGCUUUGAAAAUGGAUGGAAGCCACACCCCAGGGAUCGUGGACAGCCUUUAGAACCAGAAAAGGACAAGGAAACAGAUUCUCCAGUCCUCUAGAACCUCCAGAAGGAACAUGGCUCUGCUAAUACUAUGAUAUUAGCCCUUUCAGACUGAUUUCAGACUUCUGACCAGCAGAGGUAUAAAUCAUAAUUAUAUUGAUUUAAGCCACUAAAUUAGUGGUUAUUAGUAACGGCAGCAACAGGAAACUAUAUCAGCAACAAGACUCCUUCCUUCAUAGAACCCAAUUCCCAACCAAUUUUCAAACUUUCACAGAAAAUCUUGCCACACACUGAGACUAGGAACAUCCAACAAAAAAAUGCUAUCACUUUCAAAUGGAAAACCCAGGAUUGUAGAGAAGAUCAAAUUUUGUCAUGUAUCACAUUUAAACACUCAUCUCUACCUCACCAAACCGUGGUACUAAUGUGUACCAAUCUUAAAAGGAGGUAUUUCUGUUCCCUCAGAGCUCUGGGCAGAAGACUAUGCCUGUGGACAAUGUAGAAUUAUCUGCUGAAUGAAUAUCUGAAAACUGUUUGGAGAGGGGAAAAGCAUUGAGAAGAAUUGGGCUCUUUGCUACUAUUACUCGCUAGAAUGGGAGACGUUUGGAAGCAGUUCCCUUAAGGAACCAAACAAGGCAGGAAAUUCUGGGAUAAAUCUGGUGUUCACAUUACACAACAAAAUGAUUGUACUUCAAGAAGGAAAGAAACAGCAACUCACGUGGGGCAUGGUUUUUUAGAACUGAUCAAUUUUCUGGGUUCUUCUCCUGGAGGUGUGCAAAGUCCAGAGAAGCCAGUGCUGGACAAGGAAAAGAAGCCACAAGAUUAGACUUGGCUCACAGCCCACAAAAUAAACUACUUAGAACUACCUUUACUUCUCCUCUUUUGGGAAUUUGGAAAAAAUCUCAGUUCUUCCACAAACCCAAUGGAAGCCAGCUACUGCAGAAGGGGUUCAGGCAGACCUUUCCUUAAUGUCCAUGUUGAACAGGACCCUAGGUGCUGUUACUUUCCCAUGGCAUCUCCUCUUCCACAGUAGAACAGAGGCAUGCCCAGGGAGCCCCCCACCAUCCUCCUGGACCCAAACACUAAGUCAGGUACUUUGCUCCCAAUCUUAGGAAGGGGCUUCAGAGACCAAAAUGUGGCCUUCUUUCAGACGUCAUGAACAUCAGCUAGACUCACAGACAUUUUGACAGACAUAUCAGGGUCAACAGAUCCAAAACAGUCUCAUCCCACUCCCCUGAAUCUAGUUCUUUCUUGCCUGUUUACUCUUCCCUAUAAAAGAAAAUUCCUUUAUGCCUGACCUUUGCUAUGCUUGCAGAUCUUAUGGCUGGAGUAUUCUCCCAAUUACAACACCUCCUCCCUUACUGCAGUGUUCCUGUGAAUAAAGUCAUUCCUUACCAAAGUCUGGAUUUGUUUUUUUAUUUCACAGGUUGAAUAACUUUUGUAGAAUAACAAAACAAACUAUUUUAACUGUAACCUAAUU